AAUAUUGCACAAUGGAGGAAACUCUGAUGCAGCGACGCCGCGUGAGCGAUGAAGAUCUUCGGAUCGUAAAGCUCUGUCCUAAGGGAAGAUAGUGACGGUACCUUAGGAGGAAGCCCCGGCUAACUACGUGCCAGCAGCCGCGGUAACACGUAGGGGGCGAGCGUUGUCCGGAAUUACUGGGUGUAAAGGGUGCGUAGGCGGCCUUGCAAGUCAGAUGUGAAAGAUCACGGCUUAACUGUGGUAAGCAUUUGAAACUGUAAGGCUUGAGUGCAGGAGAGGAGAGUGGAAUUCCUAGUGUAGCGGUGAAAUGCGUAGAUAUUAGGAAGAAUAUCAGUGGCGAAGGCGGCUCUCUGGACUGCAACUGACGCUGAGGCACGAAAGCGUGGGGAGCAAACA
Molecule: ribosomal RNA, 396 nt
Filed under: uncultured bacterium
Lineage: Bacteria
Description: partial 16S ribosomal RNA
Rfam family: Bacterial small subunit ribosomal RNA
Source: RNAcentral